ACAAUGGAGAGUUUGAUCCUGGCUCAGGAUGAACGCUAGCGGGAGGCCUAACACAUGCAAGCCGAGCGGUA
This 71-nucleotide non-coding RNA is filed under the name Elizabethkingia anophelis. Its description in RNAcentral is "partial 16S ribosomal RNA". It matches the Rfam family "Bacterial small subunit ribosomal RNA", at positions 1 to 71 of the family's 1533-position model. The record is from RNAcentral. Lineage: Bacteria; Pseudomonadati; Bacteroidota; Flavobacteriia; Flavobacteriales; Weeksellaceae.